Molecule: ribosomal RNA, 467 nt
Filed under: uncultured bacterium
Lineage: Bacteria
Description: partial 16S ribosomal RNA
Rfam family: Bacterial small subunit ribosomal RNA
Source: RNAcentral
UAGGGAAUCUUCCACAAUGGACGCAAGUCUGAUGGAGCAACGCCGCGUGAGUGAAGAAGGCUUUCGGGUCGUAAAACUCUGUUAUUGAAGAAGAACGUGUGUGACAGUAACUGGUCAUGCAGUGACGGUAUUCAAUCAGAAAGUCACGGCUAACUACGUGCCAGCAGCCGCGGUAAUACGUAGGUGGCAAGCGUUGUCCGGAUUUAUUGGGCGUAAAGCGAGUGCAGGCGGUCUUUUAAGUCUGAUGUGAAAGCCUUCGGCUUAACCGAAGAAGGGCAUCGGAAACUGGGAGACUUGAGUGCAGAAGAGGAGAGUGGAACUCCAUGUGUAGCGGUGAAAUGCGUAGAUAUAUGGAAGAACACCAGUGGCGAAGGCGGCUCUCUGGUCUGUAACUGACGCUGAGGCUCGAAAGCGUGGGUAGCAAACAGGAUUAGAUACCCUGGUAGUCCACGCCGUAAACGAUGAAU